This 1433-nucleotide ribosomal RNA is filed under the name Beauveria bassiana. RNAcentral describes it as "SSU rRNA". It matches the Rfam family "Eukaryotic small subunit ribosomal RNA", at positions 1 to 1470 of the family's 1831-position model. The record is from RNAcentral. Lineage: Eukaryota; Fungi; Ascomycota; Sordariomycetes; Hypocreales; Cordycipitaceae.
UCUGGUUGAUUCUGCCAGUAGUCAUAUGCUUGUCUCAAAGAUUAAGCCAUGCAUGUCUAAGUAUAAGCAAUUAUACAGCGAAACUGCGAAUGGCUCAUUAUAUAAGUUAUCGUUUAUUUGAUAGUACCUUACUACUUGGAUAACCGUGGUAAUUCUAGAGCUAAUACAUGCUGAAAAUCCCGACUUCGGAAGGGAGGUAUUUAUUAGAUUAAAAACCAAUGCCCUCUGGGCUCCUUGGUGAUUCAUAAUAACUUUUCGAAUCGCACGGCCUUGCGCCGGCGAUGGUUCAUUCAAAUUUCUUCCCUAUCAACUUUCGAUGUUUGGGUAUUGGCCAAACAUGGUCGCAACGGGUAACGGAGGGUUAGGGCUCGACCCCGGAGAAGGAGCCUGAGAAACGGCUACUACAUCCAAGGAAGGCAGCAGGCGCGCAAAUUACCCAAUCCCGAUUCGGGGAGGUAGUGACAAUAAAUACUGAUACAGGGCUCUUUUGGGUCUUGUAAUUGGAAUGAGUACAAUUUAAAUCUCUUAACGAGGAACAAUUGGAGGGCAAGUCUGGUGCCAGCAGCCGCGGUAAUUCCAGCUCCAAUAGCGUAUAUUAAAGUUGUUGUGGUUAAAAAGCUCGUAGUUGAACCUUGGGCCUGGCUGGCCGGUCCGCCUCACCGCGUGUACUGGUCCGGCCGGGCCUUUCCCUCUGUGGAACCUCAUGCCCUUCACUGGGUGUGGCGGGGAAACAGGACUUUUACUUUGAAAAAAUUAGAGUGCUCCAGGCAGGCCUAUGCUCGAAUACAUUAGCAUGGAAUAAUAAAAUAGGACGCGUGGUUCUAUUUUGUUGGUUUCUAGGACCGCCGUAAUGAUUAAUAGGGACAGUCGGGGGCAUCAGUAUUCAAUUGUCAGAGGUGAAAUUCUUAGAUUUAUUGAAGACUAACUACUGCGAAAGCAUUUGCCAAGGAUGUUUUCAUUAAUCAGGAACGAAAGUUAGGGGAUCGAAGACGAUCAGAUACCGUCGUAGUCUUAACCAUAAACUAUGCCGACUAGGGAUCGGACGAUGUUAUUUUUUGACGCGUUCGGCACCUUACGAGAAAUCAAAGUGCUUGGGCUCCAGGGGGAGUAUGGUCGCAAGGCUGAAACUUAAAGAAAUUGACGGAAGGGCACCACCAGGGGUGGAGCCUGCGGCUUAAUUUGACUCAACACGGGGAAACUCACCAGGUCCAGACACAAUGAGGAUUGACAGAUUGAGAGCUCUUUCUUGAUUUUGUGGGUGGUGGUGCAUGGCCGUUCUUAGUUGGUGGAGUGAUUUGUCUGCUUAAUUGCGAUAACGAACGAGACCUUAACCUGCUAAAUAGCCUGUAUUGCUUUGGCAGUACGCCGGCUUCUUAGAGGGACUAUCGGCUCAAGCCGAUGGAAGUUUGAGGCAAUAACAGGUUGACCUACAC